Molecule: RNA transcript, 4689 nt
Organism: Oncorhynchus masou masou (cherry salmon)
Lineage: Eukaryota; Metazoa; Chordata; Actinopteri; Salmoniformes; Salmonidae
Gene name: zinc finger protein 3-like
Exons: 4
Source: RefSeq, a predicted model, not a curated record
UCAGAAACAGCUCGUCAACCACCUCGGUAGCUUGCUAGCCAACAUAGCCGAAAGAUUCAAGCUAAUUAUACGCUUUCGGUCUAUAUUAGCUUCUGUGUUUUAGAAGUACUUCUGUCGUAUCUACGUGAUAACCUAUUUAAUUUCAUAUUACGUUAUUUUGUAUUAGUCAGCUAUAGUAGCUGGCUGGUUAAGUUAGCACUAGCCUAGUCGCUAAUGAUACAUAACUAACAUCCCCGAACAUGAGCUCCCUAAACAUCUCCCCUCCUGUUAAAGAAGAGGAGAUCUGCUGGACGGAGAAAGAAACUCUGGGGCUGAACAUUGUCGUGAAAGAGGAGAAGGAAGAGGAGGAUGUCACAGUAAAAAAAGAAGUAGAGGGUGAUGCUGUUACAGUGAAAGAAGAAGAGAAAGACGUUACAGUGAAAGAAGAGGAAGACUCGUUCAGAGUGAAAGAGGAGGAGGAUGUUUCAGUAAAAGAAGAGGAAGAGGAGGGUGUAGUGUUUGGAGUGAAGAAGGAAGGAAAGGAGGAGACGGAAGGAGAGAGAUGUGACCUCCGUGGAUCCUCUGGGGAGCCUCAACAACAUCAUGAACCUGAUGAGGCAGAGAAGAGUCUCUUCACAUCAGAACACCACAAGAAACACCAUCAGAGACCCACAGGAAAGAAACCUCACUGCUGCUCUGACUGUGGGAAACGUUUCAAAUCUUCAUCAGAAUUGAAAAAACACCAGCGAUUACACACAGGAGAGAAGCCUUAUAGCUGUAAUCAAUGUGGGAAGAGUUUUACUCAGUCAAGCCACCUGGUAUCACACAAGAGAACACACACAGGAGAGAAGCCUUAUAGCUGUGAUCAGUGUGGCAAGAGUUUUACUCAGUCAAGUAGCCUGGUAUCACACCAGAGAACACACACAGGAGAGCAACCAUAUAGCUGUGAUCACUGUGGCAAGGGUUUUACUCUGUCAACCAACCUGGUAUCACACCAGAGAACACACACAGGACAUCAGCCAUAUAGCUGUGAUGUAUGUGCAGACAGUUUUACUACAUCAAGCCAGCUGGUAGUACACCAGCGAGUACACACAGGAGAGAAACCUUAUAGCUGUAAUCAGUGUGGGAAGAGUUUUACUCAGUCAAACAGCCUGAAAUCACACCAGAGAACACACACGGGAGAGAAACCUUAUAGCUGUGAUCAAUGUGACAAGAGAUACUCUCAUUCAAGUAGUCUGAUUAAACAUCAGAAAAUACAUGCUGGAGAUCCACAGAGUGUGGAAUGAUCUCCAACACCAGACCUGGGUAGCAGAACACAGAGUGUAGAAUGAUCUCCAACACCAGACCUGGGUAGGAGAACACAGUGUGGAAUGAUCUCCAACACCAGACCUAUAUACAGUUGAUGUCAUAAGUUUACAUACACCUUAGCCAAACAGAUUUAUAAUCAGUUUUUCACAAUUCCUGACAUUUAAUCCUAAUAGAAAUUCCCUGUCUUAUGUCAGUUAGGAUCACCACUUUAUUUUAAUGUGAAAUGUCUGAAUAAUAGUAGAGAGAAUUAUUUAGAUCAGCUUUUAUUUAUUUCGUCACAUACCCAGUGUGUCAGAAGUUUACAUACACUCAAUUAGUAUUUGGUAGCAUUGCCUUUAAAUUGUUUAACUUGGGUCAAACGUUUCGGGUUGCCUUCCACAAGCUUCCCACAAUAAGUUUUGGCCCAUUCCUCCUGAUAGAGCUGGUGUAACUGUGGCAGGUUCAUAGGCCUCCUUGCUCACACACACACACACUUUAUUUAUUUAUUUUUUAUUUCACCAGGUAGGCUAGUUGAGAACAAGUUCUCAAUUGCAACUGCGACCUGGCUAACAUAAAGCAAUUUGACACAUACAACAACACAGAGUUACACAUGGAAUAAACAAAACAUACAGUUAAUAAUACAGUAGAAAAAAGAAAACAAGUCUAUACACAGUGAGUGCAAAUUAGGUAAGAUAAGGAAGUUAAGGCAAUAAAUAGGCCAUGGUGGCAAAGUAAUUACACUUUAGCACUUAAACACUGGAAUGGUAGAUGUAUUGUUACACCAUGUAGGAGCAGUAUAGACCGAGUUUAUUCAUUAUAUACAUCUACAUGAUGUAUUGUUACACCAUGUAGGAGCAGUAUGGACCUAGUCUGUUCAUUAUAUACAUCUACGUGAUGUAUUGUUACACCAUGUAGGAGCAGUAUAGACCUAGUCUGGUCAUUAUAUACAUCUACAUGAUGUAUUGUUACACCAACAAAAUGAAGGGAAGUAACCAGCUUUUGGGCUAAAAUAUCCUGGUAGUGGGUAGAGUUGAUUUAUUUUAUACAUACAUAUACGCACAUCUUUAUCAAGGGUAUCUAUAACUAGGUGCUUAUUUUGAUAUCUAGUUAUUUGACUGAAUCAGAAAUACAGAUGUUGAGUAGAUGUGGAGUUUGUUUUAAAUUCUCAUAAAAAAUAUGAACUUAUCAAACAACACGUGUUGCUCUUUGUACGUGUUGAUAUAAUAUUCAUAUUUAAUGUAGAGAAAAAAACGUUUCCCUAAACUGCUUUAUAAUAUUAUAAUUCUCGACCAUGAGCUCACAAAGCUACUCUCCUGCUAAAGAAGAGCAGGUCUGCUGGACGGAUGAAAGAAGCUCUCGUGAAAGAGGAGGAGAAAGACGUUACAAUACAAAAACAAGUAGAGAGUGAGGCUGUCACAGUGAAAGAAGAAGAGGAAGACGCAUUCAGAGUGAAAGAGGAGGAGGAUGUUACUGUGAAAGAAAAGGAGGAAGAUUGCAGUUUUUGGAGUGGAGGAUGAAAUGAAAGAAGAUGAAAAUGUUUUUGGAAUGAAGGAUGAAGAGGGGGAGAUUACUGUCACAUUAGAGGAGGACGAAGAAGAGAAGACUGGAGAUCUGAUUAACACCAGUAAAUACAGAGAGAGACCAGACUCUCCUUCUGACAGCAGGAAGAGUCCUUCAGGGGAACCAGACCCUGAGACGUCCAAACCAGCUGGACGACAUCGCUGCUCCGAGUGUGGAAAGAGUUUUGCUCAGUUCGGGAGCCUGAAAACACACAAGAGAAUACACACUGAAGAGAAGCCUUACCACUGCUCCUUGUGCAGAAGGCGUUUUAGGUGGUUAUGGAGCUUGGAAAGGCAUGAGAGGACACACACUGGAGAGAAGCCUUACCAAUGUUCCCAUUGUGUAAAGCAUUUUGCAUCAGAUGACACACACAGGAAAAAAGACUUACCACUGCUCCCACUAUGCAAAGAGAUUUACCUGGUUAAGGUUCCUGAAAGAACAUGAAAGAAUACAUACAAAUACACAGAAGGAGAAGACAUAGCACUGCUCUCAUUGUGGAAAUACAUUUUUCCAGUCAGAGGACCUGAAAACACAUGAGAGAAUAGAGAGUCUGUGUUCUGACUUGUCUUUUUGACUGAGAAUGUGUGUUUUUGUUUGGGCUGUCGGACUUGAGAUAACUUUUUGUAAUGAAGACUAGCUGCUCCCUUGGCAGGAACUAAUGGGGAUCCAUAAUAAACCCCAGGAAGAGUAGCUGCUCCCUUGGCAGGAUAUAAUGGGGAUCCAUAAUAAACCCCAGGAAGAGGAGCUGCUGCCUUGGCAGGAACUAAUGGAGAUCCAUAUUAAACCCCAGAAAGAGUAUCUGCUGCCUUGGCAGGAACUAAUGGGGAUCCAUAAUAAACCACAGGAAGAGUAGCUGCUGGCUAUAUUUGUCUCUCUUUACUCUCGGAUUCUAAAAUGCUAAUUAGCAUCAAAGCAGACAACAUGCAAGACUACAAAUCCCUGCAAGCUCCUGCAUGUCAUCUCUAGCCGACACCUUUUACACAACAGUUCACUGAAUUGUUCAUUGAAAUAAAUUUUGACAAUUUAGUCAUUGCUACAUUAAGGCCUGAUUGGUGGAGUCCUGCAGAGACGGUUGUCCUUCUGGAAGGUUCCCCCAUCUCCACAGAGGAAAUCUGCAGCACUGUCAGAGUGAACAUCAGGUUCUUGUUCACCUCCCUGACCAAGGCCCUGCUCCCCCGAUUUCUCAGUUUGGCGGGGCUGCCAGCUCUAGGAAGAGUCUUGGUGGUUACAAACUUCUUCCAUUUAAGAAUGAUGGAGGCCUCUUUGUUCUUGGGGACCUUCAAUGCUGUAGACAUUUUUUGGAACCCUUUCCCAGAUCUGUGCCUCGACACAAUCCUGUCUCAGAGCUCUAUGGACAAUUCCUUGGGACCUCAUGGCUUGGUUUUUGCUCUGACAUGCACUGUCGACUAUGGGACCUUAUAUAGACAGAUGUGUGCCUUUUCAAAUCAUGUCCAAUCAAUUGCAUUUACCACAAGUGGACUCCAAUCAAGUUGUAGAAACAUCUCAAGGAUGAUCAAUGGAAUCAGGAUGCAACUGAGCUCAAUUUCGAGUCUCAUAGCAAAAGGUCUGAAUACCUAAGUAAAUACAUUUGAAAAAAUCUCUAAAAAGCUGUUUUCACUUUGCCUUGAAUAAGGCUGUAAUGUAACAAAAUGUGGAAAAUGUGAAGGGUCUGAAUACUUUACUUUUCUACUGCAGUUUUGUACAUGAUCAAAUCAAAGUUUAUACACUGUCAUGUGAUACGUGAUAUAGAAAAGUCCAAUCUUAGGAGAGUACAUGGGAGGCACUAUACUGUGUGUCUGCAGGUGUCUAUCAGGGCAAAACCACUGAUACAGUGCCUUGCGAAAGUAUUCGGCCCCCUUGAAC